GACGAACGCUGGCGGCGUGCUUAACACAUGCAAGUCGAACGGAAAGGCCCUGCUUUUGUGGGGUUCUCGAGUGGCGAACGGGUGCGUAACACGUGAGUAACCUGCCCUUGACUUUGGGAUAACUUCAGGAAACUGGGGUUAAUACCGGAUAGCAGCUCCUGCUGCAUGGUGGGGGUUGGAAAUUUUCGGCGGUUGGGGAUGGACUCGCGGCUUAGCAGCUUGUUGGUGGGGUAGUGGCGUACCCAGGCUUUGACGGGUAGCCAGCCUGAGAGGGUGACCGGGCCCAGAGGGCUAGGGGUGCGACCAGGGGGGAAUAGGGGGGCAGGGGUGGGAACUUGUGCCAGACGGGCCGAGGGCUGAAAGAGGACCGCCGGGUGGGAGAUGACGGCUUUCGGGUAGUAAAACGCUUUCGCCUGUGACGAGGCGUGAGUGACGGUAAUAAGUAAAGAAGCACCGGCUACUUACGU
This 467-nucleotide ribosomal RNA is filed under the name uncultured bacterium. Its description in RNAcentral is "partial 16S ribosomal RNA". It matches the Rfam family "Bacterial small subunit ribosomal RNA", at positions 28 to 506 of the family's 1533-position model. The record is from RNAcentral.